CAUAUUUUUUUUAAAAAAAUAGAUACUCGUCCAAAUAUAAGCUACUUUAUAAUAAGUCACGUUUGCAUGAUCAACUAUACAUAUCAAAAUUCUGUUCUUAAAAAAUAAUUUUUUAAUUUUUUUUAAAAAAAAAUUUGUGAACCAAAUGAGUCCGAAGUCAUUGUAGUCAACUGGCCAAUCAAUGGGCAAAUGAUGCGGAAACAUUGCGGAAAAGGGGGG
Molecule: long non-coding RNA, 219 nt
Filed under: Elaeis guineensis (African oil palm)
Lineage: Eukaryota; Viridiplantae; Streptophyta; Magnoliopsida; Arecales; Arecaceae
Description: long non-coding RNA (EGUI_LNC073833)
Source: RNAcentral